RNAcentral lists this ribosomal RNA (253 nucleotides) under uncultured bacterium. RNAcentral's name for it is "partial 16S ribosomal RNA". It matches the Rfam family "Bacterial small subunit ribosomal RNA", at positions 524 to 776 of the family's 1533-position model. The record is from RNAcentral.
UACGUAGGGUGCGAGCGUUAAUCGGAAUUACUGGGCGUAAAGCGUGCGCAGGCUGUUCUGUAAGUCAGAUGUGAAAUCCCCAAGCUUAACUUGGGAACUGCCGUGGAUACUAUCAAUCUUGAAUAUCGUGGAGGUAAGCGGAAUAUGUCAUGUAGCGGUGAAAUGCUUAGAUAUGGCAUAGAACACCAAUUGCGUAGGCAGCUUACUACACGAUCAUUGACGCUGAGGCACGAAAGCGUGGGGAGCAAACAGG